CAUAAUAAUUGGAAAAGGUAUUGCACUAGGAAUAUAUUUGUGGUCAGCUAACGAGUAUUGGUAACGAGUCAUUGUAUAACAUUGUGACUCGUUAGGAGGACUCAUUAUUUAACUAGUGAAUACUAAUUAGGCAUUCUUCCACCUUAAGAGUCUCACUACGCCUCUUAAGCAGAGACAAUGUCUUGUACCUUGAGUUAUAGUAUGCCCGGGUCUUGCCACAGUGACACCUUAUUUUCUUAUUUCUCUACCCUUUUCUUAGGAAUAAUUAAUGCAUAUUGUUUCAAUAGGUAAAAUAGCUCUGAAAACUAAUUUCGCAAAAAAACUGACCUCAAUAAAGAAAACCCAAAAAAAACCUACUCUACAAUCCACUAUUUAUCUUUGAAGUGAGGACACCGAUGAGUCAAGCGGUGAACUAGAGGAAUAACCAAAAGUAGGGAAGGCAGCACCAAGAGAGAAGCAACCUUAGAGGGUGAAAGCAAUAAUGAAGGACACAUCUUCUAGGUCUAUACAAAGAAUGAAAAACCCUAGCACAUUACCACCCCAAUAACCAUCAUACUCUAAUGAGGACAGUAAAAAUGAUGAAGAAGAAAAAAAUAAUGAGGAUGCUGGUGAGGAUGAAUCAGGCUCCAAGGAAGAGAAAUAUAAAAAUAGGGUUAACGAUGAGAAUGACAAUAAUGAUAAAGACGAGUCUGCAUUUGGAAAAAGAUAGUAGUAAAGAGAGCGACAGUCCGAUCAAAGAAAUACCACCACCACGAGUACCUCCCACUUCAUGUUUCAUUGAGGCUACUUCGAUGCCCAUCGUUGAAUGGUGGGAGUACCCCGAAAUACAGGCCCUAUAUGAAAAAAACAAUUCCAUAAAUCUUACAACUGGAAAGCCCCUAAGAUGUAUUUAUCUUGAGAGGAAUUUGACAACUCCGGGCAAGUCUGAGAUGGUUACCUUUGAUGCCAGAUUCAAAUAAUACAUUUUGAAUGGAUAACUAGGGUAUCGAGUCAGUAUAGUUCAGCAUUGGUUCAUGAUUUUUACGCUGCAUAAAAGAUAGAGAUAAAAAGGCAAAACCCUCAGGGUCGGUUAUGGAAGGGUGCAGACUCAUUGUCAGAUUUAGUAAUUCGAGGUAUUUGGGUGAACAUCUCAGCUCAAAUGAUCUCUCGAGACUACGUGGGUCAGAAUUUGUACUUCUGACCACCACUGUAGAGAUAUACUUCUGAGUAGAGAAGGUGAAGAAAGUGAAGGUGAAAUAACUAGGGUCAGAGGAUAAGCUUGUUUAGUUCUAGUGGAUGGUCGGGAUCAUUGCCACCAAUCGAUAGAAAACUCUGUGGGUAGUUCAUGGUAUAAAAAAUUCAUCAUCAAUUAAAAAAAGUAGCCUAAACUUUUAGGCUAAGGUUUAUUGGUCCUUAAUACAACACAGGCUGAGUCCCAAUUUGAUAGACAAUGUUGUACGCCCAGAUAAAGUGACCCUAAUCAUAGGAAUUAUGGUUGGCUAUGAGAUUGAUGUGACCAAAUGGAUUGUUUGAAAGAUUAGAUUUAGGGUGAUGAAUAUGAAUAUAGUGAUGUCCUUCCCUUGUCUCUUGGUGUAGAUACACAUAGAUACGAGGAGUUCCAGAGCUCCCGGGGAUUGACAAGUUCUUGAGUCUAAAAAUCAUGAUAUAUUUGGGUCUAACCAGAGAAGUUGUUAAUCCGAUCUCCAGGAAAGCUAAGUUGGGCUCCACUAUGAUCCAAAGGUCUUUUGAGGUCGGUGGGCAUGGAAAUAACACUGCAGGGUUCACCGACAUAGGUGACACCCCUACUGAGAAUGGCCUGUCCAAGCCCUAGGCCUUUAAUACAGCAAAUACACCCCAAACUCAUCCUCUAUUUUCCUUUUAAGUGCCUCGACCAUCCACUUUUAGGUUGGCUCCAGUCGGCUAUGAAUUACUGUCACAGUUAUUUUUAUCAGAGGUAUAGAAAAGGUUGCAUACGGUGGAGACAAAAGUGAUACUUAUGGAGGGAGAAGUGAAACCAUGGGUUGACGUGAGGAUAAAGAAUAACUGAGGUUGAUGCAGGCGAGGUUUGAUGGGUUAGAGCAGCAUACUAGCCGGUAACUUGAGGGUAUUCAGUCCCUAGACUUAACUGGUGUAUAAGUCGAGCUAGCUACACUGUGGAAGUAAGUUGAAGAGCUACAUAAUAGGCCCAUCCUCUCGAUGCCUCUUAUUAAGAAGGUCCAAGAAGAGGAGAAAGUCAAAAAUAUUUGAGGUGUUGAAUAUUCAAACCUAAUCUGGUUAAAGGGUAAAGAAAAACAAAAAAUAAAAGAGAAGAAGAAUAGAGGAACAGAAUGUUUAGGCCACAAAAAUAGUUAGUAUUUAGAUUAAGCUAGACCACGAGGCAAGGGUCCGAGAGAUGGCGUUGGGGCCUGGUAAUUCGAGAUCUACUGAUUCUGCUGAGUUGAGCAGUAGUACAGCCCCACCGCUUGAGCCACCUUUCAGAUCACUGGCCACCACCAGUGCCACUAUUGUAGAUAAAUUCUUGACAGCUGUUAGGACCACUAAUGUUAAGAGUGGGAUCCGGUUAGAGGUCCCACGUGCUGAUCUUACUUGAUCUGGUUCCUAGGUCGCCCAGGUAUGUCUUCACCCUUUGUUUUAUAUUCUUUUUAUAUGCACUUGGUAUAGUGUAUAGGUAUUUAGUUAGGGGUAGGGUUGUACUGUAGAGCUAUAAUAUGUUAUUGUUAUCGUAUUUCUUUUCUCGCCAACUGCGGUUUAAAUGAGGAACCGGCAUGUAGUGUUGUGUUUUUAUGUUUUAUGAUGUGUUGUGUGAUGCUAAAUUGGGAGGAAACAUAGUAUCUAAGGCAAGUAAUAUUUUUAAUAUUAGUGUGCUCCCAUGGUAUCUAAGGCAAUUAAUGUUUUGUAUAUGAGUGUACUGUAAUUUGUGAAAAUGUUUGAGAAAAUGUGUGCUGUAAUUGCUGAAAAUGUUUGAGAAAAUGGUACCCCUCCUAAAAUUUUGAUAACUGUGUGAUCUGGUAUGCGUGUGACUGUGGUGAAUCUAGUAAUGGCAUUAGAAUUAGGGACAUAAUAAUUGUAACACUGUACAAUGUGUGUGAGGCAUUGCCUAGUUCUCGAUGUGUAUGGAAUCUAGAACUUGCCCGGUUGCUCUUGCCUAGGUUGUAGGAUGGUUGGUUAAGAGAUUAUCAUAGGCCAUUUUUUAAUAAGUCCACUUUAUCCCAAAUUUGCUAACUAAAUGAAAUAGAAAUCCCUCGAUCCGGAUGUUGAGCCUUAAAAGACCGAUUUUUCAUUUACACCAAUUCACAUUCAUGUUAAGCUACAGUGAACCUAUUUUGGCCCUAGUCCUCCUUGGAAACUGCGCACCUCAACUCAAGCAAAUUGCCUAAGUUGAGGGUGACUAUUAUAGAGGUGUGUACUAAAAAGUUUGUUUUAAAAAAGGGUGUAGAUAGAAAAAAUAAGUAGAGUUAGGUAUGGUAGAUAGAAUGAAAAAAAAAAGAAAAAGAAAGUAAAAAUAGAAUUGAAAAAGUAGAAAAAGAAAGAAUAAAUGAAACCAGAUUGAGCCUAAAUAAGCAGUAAAAGAAUAAAAAAGGACAAAUAAGGGCAGACUAAACAAAAAGUUGGUAAAAGAGUGGACCACAAAGAAAUCAUAGUGCCAAGAAGGCUAAGUCACUUAAAAAAUCCUCAAUUGUACAAUGCCAGCCCCAAGCCUACAUUACAAGCCUAAUAAAAGUAAACACAGGGAAACAACAUACAGGCAAGCCUAUGACAUUCUGUUUGCACUGAUUGGAACUUCUUUGUGAGUGAGAGCAUAUCUUGAUCAUCCCUAUAGGAACAUGCUGAUCUAAUUGAGUGAUAAGGACUUAUUUGAUUGUAAAGGUCCAUGGGUUGCAUUGUUAAGAUUAUUUAUAUGUCCAUGUAGUGACCCAGUUACUUAUUACUAACGUAAUUCCAUCACCUAGAUCUUGUGUGUCACACUAUUGUACCAAAAAAAUGAUCUUCGUGUUUUUGCCUGAGCACUUGCAAACUUUCUAAGUCGAGGGUGUUGAUGUGCCAUAGAAACAUGGCACAUUUGAUACUUUAAAUGGUGAAAUUAUGCACUAACUUAGGUCAUUUCAUCGGAUAUGAUGUAUGUUUUAUGUGUUUUGUAGGUAAACUAAGUUUGAAGGGGGUGUUGGACUAAAAAGGAGAAAAAAAGUGCUGAAAAAUUCAAGUACUGGUCAAGCUACGAGUCGUUAAGUCACCAUACGACUCGUAGUCAGACCCGUAAGGAUACGAGUAGCUAAAGUUGAACUAAAAAAAAAUAAGUAAGGACUGACCACAACUCGUAAAUAGUGACUACGAGUCAUGGUGUGUGACCAUAAAGAUCAUAGUAAGCAAAGUUGAAGCACAUGAAUGAUGUAAUAGAAGGCUACAGGUUCUAAGGUCAGACAAUGACUCGUAGUGAGAGGUCGUACUGUGACCAGUGUAUAAAGUUUUUAAUAUUGAUGCCUUAGUGGUAACGAGUAAAGACCACGAGUCAUAAGAACUAUCUACGACUCGUGGUGGGUAGUCAUAAGGAGAACGAAUUCAAUUGCACUAAAAAUGAAAAACUAUGGCAGUGACUAAGAUUAGCAACAUAUGACUCGUAGGGUGACACUACGAGUCGUAACAACUGAAGCCUGAAGAGAGAUACGACAACAGGAAAUGAGUCAUAACCAGACCAAACGACUCGUUGCUAGAGGCAUAACAACUGCCGACAAAGUUUUUUAAGUUUUUUUAAUUAGGUUUUCUUUGUUAUUUUAAGAUACUGUAAAUACUCUAGGGUUAUUCCUUUAUUAUAUUACGCACUUUUAGUACUUUUUUGCCAUACUUUGACUUCUUAAUACUUUGGAUAUUUUUGUUCUUGCGUUUUUAAUUUUUGUAUUCAAUUGGAGAUUUUAGAUUUUACUCUUUCACUAUUGUGCAAUCAAUUACAUCUCUUCUUUAUUGAUUUCCAUGGAUUGUUGCAUAAGCAUGAGCAUUUAGUUUCCUUUACUGGGGUUGUGGGAACCCUGGUGAAUUAACAAUGUAAGGGAAGUGGGAUAUUUAUCUAUUAUAUUUUGGUUGAGUGUAAUGUGAUUCCUUUAUAUUACUUGUACCCCAAGCUACUGCAGAAGUUUUAGGAUUUCCUGUAUUCGAGAUCAUCCUUACAAAGGAGUUCAAGAUUGGGAAAGAAGGUUACAACAAUGAUUCUAGGCUAUCAACCCUCGUAUAAUCAACUUGAAACCCAGAAGGUAAUAGUUGUAUAGGGUUAAUAAAAAGGGAUAGUAAGGUGCCACCAUCAAAAUCAAAAGGUGAAGGGUGAGAUUUAUCAACACAUUUACAAGAGGGUUGAUAAUACAUAACUUGUCAGACUUUGUAUGCAGAAUAGUGGGAUAGGUGAGUUGAACAUGAGAAUCUUAUACAGUUAGAUGCCCAAGGAACAUAGUCCUAGUGUUUUUAUUCUAUUAUUUAUAAUCUCAAGCACUCAAGCUCAGUUACUGGUUACUGUUGACUUUAAAUCCCUCCAUUUACUUUUUUGCACUACCCAUGAUUUCACCAAUUUUGAUAUAUUUCCACACAUUCCCUAUGGGUUCUACCCUAACCUGGUUUGAGUUACUAUAUUUGACAUCAACCGCAGCAUACUUCUUUGGAGGUUAGCUUUGGGCAACAUCAAUAAUCAUACUAGAGAAAAUGCAUAGGUAAAAGCACAACUUCAUAGUCGAGAAUUUGGUGAUUGGUUUAAGGAAAAAGUUUUAAAUAUUGAAGUGCCAAAUCAUUUAAGAUGGCUAGCUAUAGGGCCUAAUUUUGUGGCUAAAAGAUAUACUGCAUAUUUCGUUAAUGGAUAUCAAUUUCAUACAAUGACACAGGAUGUCUCAGUUAAGACUGAAAAUAGUGGAGUGACUUUGUCAGCAACAAUAGAUAGUUUUGCUGGUGCUAGAGACCUGAAUCCUGUUGAUGGAAUAGUUAUCUAUUAUGGAGUUAUUCAAGAUAUCAUCAACAUAGAUUUUUGGGGUUGCUGUAGUGUUGUACUAAUUAGAUGUGAUUGAUUUCAUAAUGAAGUAGAUGAAUAUGGAUUGACGCACAUAAAUUUCAAUAGAAAAUACAGUAUAGAUGACCUUUUUGUAUUAGCAUCACAAGUGCAUCAAGGGAGAUCCAAUUGAGAAAGGAAUUUAUUGUGUAAGAAAUAAAGUUCCUGUUGAUUUGUAUGAUUUGGAGGAAGAAACUUAUCCCAGUAUUAAAGAAACAUUUUGGAGGGAGCCUAAUGAUGAAAUUGGUUCAUUAAAAAAAAGUACUCGGUGUUGAUGUCAGAUGGUCAAGAGAAGAUCUCCCUGUUGACAGCAUUGAUAUGCCUUCCUAUGCACAACAUCAGAAUAUGUAAUGGAAAUAUCAAAAGAGGAGGAUGACAUUGAUGAUAUCGAUUGGGAUUGGAUGGAAGUUGAUGAUUGACAUAAAAGUUUCUUCUUAAUGGUUAGUAGUUAAUGUACUUGAUGUUCCUUAAUGUCUUUAAUGUGCUUGACUAUCUUUUCUUUUGUUUCUUUAAUGUUGUUGGUUUUCAAAAUGUCUUAAAUUAGUGGAACUUAACAAAUACACAUGCGCUAAGAGCUGUUGAACAGAUUAUGAAUUCUUUCUUUUUGGUACCUUUCUCUUCUCUUGCGAUUAAUAUUUUUGCUCAGUCUUUUUAUUUCUUCUUCAAUUCUAGUAUUUAUCUUUCUGCAUAGUCUUUUUGAGAAAUCUUUAACUUCCAAUUGCACCAAGGAAAAUUUAGGUUCCAAUCUCUCUCUCUUUCUCUAUCUCCAUCUCUCUGAUAUUUAUAAUUGAUAUUUUUUGUUGAAUAUACAUAAAGAAGAUGUGUGUCUCUAGUUGAUAAUUUUUGCUUAAUAUAUAUAAUAAAGUCAAAUGUAACACCUAAAAAAUAGUUGAUAAUUGCCACUACUCUUGUCCCUUCUCAAAUUCUAUAGUGCUUAAGCUAUGGUUUUAGUAAAUUACGGUUAUUGGUUAGGCAUGCUAAUUGGUCGUUAUUAUAUUUCUUGCGGAGGUUUAUUAUCUCAAGGGGCCUGUAGAACUUUUAGUUUCACCUUAUAUUAGCAGUUUUAUAACAUAUACUAGCUAAAAUUUCUUUUGAAAAUAACCUCUCUACCUCAUAGAUAAGGUCUGUGACACUCUACCCUUCCCAAACUCCACUUGUGGGAUCACACUCGGGUUGUUGUUGAAGCUGAAAUAUACUUUUACCCUAUGUGCCUUACUACCUUUCCAAGUUCAAAAUUUAUGUUCAUAGGUCAAUCAAUAAGCAUACAUUUUAUUCUAUAGUAGGUUCAAGUCAUUGUAGCUCUAUAUUUUUAACAAUUAGCUUUAUCAAAGAAUAUUAAUGAGAUAGCAGUAAUACGAAAAUAUGAUGAGACAAUGAGCAGAUUUAGUCAUCUGAAGCAAAAUUAUUUUCUUUUUUAGCUCAAUGUUGGAUUGCUGGCUGACUUUGUACAGCUAUUACCUCUCUAUGCUUCCAUCCUGAAACUGGGAAAGAAGAUAAUUCUUUAUAGUAAUACACUAAGAAAGCACCCUUAUUUGUAAACCUUCUCUGCUACUUACUAGAAGUUAAGUUCUAAACAAUCUCUUUUUGGUGAAGUUUGAUUAGUAAUGCUGAUAAUCUUGUUUCUGAAUUUUUUCUGUACCUUUUUGUGUUGUUCUGUUUGACCAAUGAUGUGAUUAGUAGCAAAAAAUAAUGUGUAUGGUUAUGUUUGUUUUUCUAAUGAACAUGUUUCUUAGUAUUUCUAUUGAUCGAUUUCUGUAUAUGCCUACUAAGUCUAGCAAGUAGUUUGUAUUUUUAAUCUAUUCUACUUAUUGAACUCUAAGUCAGUAGUCAGUAACUAACUUCCUGUUGUUGAAUUCUUUUUCCUUUACUCUACUAAUUGUCAGAGUGCACUGUUACAGUGGUUAUGGUGCUGAGCAAGGAGAAAAAGUAAGUAGGGACUUCUUACAUAUUUAUGUAAUUUUAUAUGAAUAAAUGAUAUUUGGCAUGAGCACUGGUAGUUUGUCUUAAGCUAUGAUGUAACGGUCGACACUGUCGCUUAAGCUAUCUAUGGUUUUAGUAAAUUGCAGCUACUGGUUAAGCAUGCUAAUUAGCCGUUAUUAUAUUUCUUGCGGAGGUUUAUUGUCUGGAUGGACCUAUAGAACUUUUACUUUCACCUUAUAUUGGCAGUAUUAUAACAUAUACCAACUGAAAUUUCGUUGGGAAACAACAUCUCUACCUCAUAGAUAAGGUCCAUGACACUCUACCCUUCUCAAACCCCACCUAUGGAAUCACACUAGGGUUGUUGUGGCUGAAAUAUACUUUUACCCUCUGUGCCUUACAACCUUUCCAGGUUCUAAACGUAUGUUCAAAGGUCAAUUAGUAUACAUAGAUUUUAUUCUGGAGUAGGUUUAAGUCAUUGUAGCUAUAUAUUUUUGACAAUUAUCUUUAUCAAAGAAUCUUAACGAGAUAGCAGUAAUGUGGAAAUAUGAUAAGACGACAAGCAGAUUUAUUUAUCUGAGGCAAAAUUAUUUGCUUUUUUAGCUCAAUGUAGGAUGGUUGGAUGAUUUUAUAAAGCCACUACCUCUAUAUGCUUCCAUACUGAAACUGGGGAAAGAAGACAAUUAUUUAUAGUAAUAUACUAAAAGAGCACCCCUAUUUGUAAACCUUCUCUGCUACUUACUAGGAGUUAAGUUCUAUACAUCUCUAUUUGGCGAAGUUAGAUUAGUAAUGUUGAUAACCUUGUAUUUGAAUUUUGUAUGUGCCUUUUUGUGUUGUUCUGUUUGACCAAUGAUGCGAUUACUAACAAAAAAUAAUGUGUAUGGUUACGUUUGUUUUUCUAAUGAACAUGUUUCUGAGUAUUUCUAUUGAUCGAUUUCAGUAUAUGCCUACAAAGUCUAGCAAGUAGUUUGUAUUUUUAAUAUAUUCUUCUUAUUGAACUCUAAGUCAAUAAUUAACUUCGUGUUCUUGAAUUCUUUUUCCUUCUCUGCUUAUUGUCAGAGUGCACUGCUUACAGUGGUUAAAGUAAGUAGGGGAUUCUUACAUAUUUAUGUAAUAUGAUAUUAUUUCUAUCACUUGCCGUCCAUUUCUUAUUUCUCUUCCUUCUUUUAAGAAUAAAUGGUAUUUUACCUGAGCACUGGUAGUUUGUCUUUCCUUUAUUUGUACUGGUUUCUUUGUUAAUUUUGUCCUUUUUUUCCUCACAUACAUUGCAAUUUUCUUUAUCGAGUGGUCUCGGUGAUAAAAAAGGGGAAGUUUCUCUUUUUGUCAUAAUGUAAAAAAGGGAUGUACAGCUGAAAUUUCUGAAGCGCUUAAAAGUAUUUCCAUAUAUUAUAUCAACAAUGAUCUAUUACUGUGUUGUAAUUAGCAUUUUAUAAAUAAUUUCUUGACUUGCCAACCAAUUUUUUAAAAAGAAGAAAUGAAAUGCUUCAUGUUUGGGUGUUGUCAAGUAUGGUUAUCUUGGACCUUAUUUAAUAUAUGAAUAAGAAUAACUCGUUGGUCACCAUAUCUUUCAUAGCAGUAAUCUGUUAGAACAAUUCUGAGAAUAGCCAUUAAUUUUUUCUGCCUGAGCAGCAACUAAGAGCCUCCAUUGCUUCUACCUCCAUGUCUCUUGUGUAACCUGUUUGCUUGUGUGAUUCAAUAUUUUUGCUUACUUUCUUUUGUCUUUCUAGAUUUUUAUCAAAUUUUACUCUUAUACUGGAUGCUAUACCUUAUAGUCAAUUUCUAGAAGCCUACUGAAUGCACUAAUUGCGAUUUCUUACUGCAAUUAAGUUGUUCUUGGUUAACUGGUUAGUUGUUCUUACAACAGUUAAGUUGUUCUUGGUUGACUGGUUAGUUGUUCUUACAAAGUUAAGUUGUUCUUGGUUGACCGGUUAAUUGUUCUUACUGCAGUCAAGUUGUUCUUGGUUGUCUAUUUAGUUAAGUCUGAAAUCUUACUGCAGUUAUUUUGUUCCAUCUUAAAUUUACACAUGUUUAGAUAAAAAUUAAUCAAAAAGGGUCUUCGAAAAAUAACAAAAGAGCAAGAAACAAGGCAUUUACUAAACCUGAAUCGUUAUCAGCCAUGACAAAUAGAAAAUGAUGAUUAUUGACAACAAAUGAAAUUGUUCAAGCUAUACGAACAGAGAAAGAGAAUCGUCUAAAAUUAAUUGAAGAACAGCAACCACCAGUAGCACCACUAUCUCAAGAAAUUGAACAAUCUGUAGUGGAGUAUCAUGUUGCAAAGGAGCAAACAUGCAGAGGAUGAGCAACAUGUAGUGGACCAAGUCCAAAUGGCUGAUUCAGCCACUCUUGUAACAACUGAACAUUUUGAAGAACAAGGCUGAAACGAAAGAAAUUAAAAUGCAACUGGAUGCAAAUGAUCAACCUGUUGAUGAAUUUUCAGCAGUCAUGGGUGUUGAAUAUCCAAGAUGUCUAUGAUUGUUUGAAGGAUGAGUUAAAAAGACUUCUUUAAAAAUAAUAAAUGACACUUCUAAAUCAACUUUAAAUGUCACCAAUGAUGUCAUGCGACAAAUGCAAGAAAGGAUGGAAAAAAUAGAGGAUCAAAUCAGUGAACAAAAUAGAAUCAUUUGAUAAGAAGUUAUUACAGAUGUAAUUGCUCAACUUUAGAUUGCAGAAUUAACUGAUUCUAAGAUACUAGCGGCAUAGUCCACUCCAUCAAGAGAAUCUACCUCUACACUAGCAUCUACAGAGAGAAACAGUCAAGGUUAUGACAUAGAAGAUGGAAACGAAAUCGAUGAACUAGACCUGACCUAAGAGAUCGAUCACAUUGGUUUCAUUCAUUUUACGCUAUUGGAAUAUUUGACCAAGUUUUAAACAUCUUUUACUUUUGAAGAUUCAAAACUUGUGUAUAUAUGAUUUACUUUUUUGAAUGAUCAAAAAAUAUUUGGUGUCUUGAUUGA
Molecule: long non-coding RNA, 10869 nt
Organism: Capsicum annuum
Lineage: Eukaryota; Viridiplantae; Streptophyta; Magnoliopsida; Solanales; Solanaceae
Exons: 3
Source: RefSeq, a predicted model, not a curated record